This is a long non-coding RNA of Macaca fascicularis (crab-eating macaque), 1834 nucleotides long. The record is from Ensembl. NCBI's taxonomy places the organism in Eukaryota, Metazoa, Chordata, Mammalia, Primates, Cercopithecidae.
UUUUUUUUUUUUUUUUGGAAACAGAGUCUCACUCUGUUGCUCAGGCUGGAGUGGGUGGUGCAAUCCCAGCUCACUGCAACCUCUGCUUCCUGGGUUCAAGCAAUUCUCAUGCUUCAAUCUCCCAAGUAGCUGGGAUUAUAAAUGUGCACCUCCAUGCCCAGCUAAUAUUUUGUGUUUUUAGUAAAGAUGGGGUUUUGCUAUGUUGACCAGGCUGAUCUCAAACUCCUGGCCUCAGGUGAUGCGCCUGCCUUGGCCUCCCAAAGCUGAAAGACUCACACAAUCUGAUGUCAGGAUCUCCUACAAAGCUAAGUAAUCAGGAGACAGCAUGGUAUUGGUGUAGGCAUGAACAAAUAGAUUAUUGGAAUAGACCAAAGUCCAGAAAUAGACUCACGCAUAGUCAAUGAAUUUUUCAACAAGUGACACUGGGAUCCGAUUUUGAAAAAUAGGCAAAAGACUUAGACACUUCAAAAAGAAUAAAUACAAAUGACCGACAAGCCCAUGAGGAAAUGCUCACUUCAUUAGUUGCCAGAGAAAUGCAGUUUGAAACCACAGUAAGGCUCCAUUCUACACCCAACAGAAUGACUAAUAUUAAAAAGACCUACAAAACCAUGUUGACAAGGAUGUGCAGCAACUAGAACUCUCAUAAAUGUUUUGUGGGUGUUCUAGUUGCUCCACAUAAAUGUCAUAAAUGUCUUAUACCAUCAAAUGGCAUAACCACUUUGGAAAACUGAUGGUUUCCUAAAAGGUAAAUAUAUAUCUACCCAGAGAUUCCACUUGUAGGUUUUGCCCAAGUGAAACAAAAAUAUAUGUUCACAAUAAGACACACAUAAAAUAGUAAAAAACUUGAAACAACGCAAAUGUCCAGCAAUAGAGGAAUAGACAAUUUGCAGCAGAUCUAUACGAUAGACUACUAAUCAGUAACAGAAAAGAACAAACUACCAACAUAUACAACAAACUACUGAUGUUGUGAAUCUAAAAAAUACUAUGUUUAGCAAAAUAAGCCAGACACAAAAGAGCACACCUUGUAUGAUUCCAUGUAUAUGAAGUUCUAGAAUAGGCAGAAUGAUCUAUAGUAACAGUAUCAGAAAAGUGGUUGCUUGGAGUGGGAGGGUUGACUGGAAAUGGGCACAAGUGAAUUCCUGGGGUGAUCAAGACAUUCUGUACCUUGAUUGAGUGUUGGUUACAUGGGUAUAGAUAUUUGUCAAAAUGUGUUGAAUUGCUCACUAAGAUCUGCACAUUUUACUGUAUGUAAAAUUUACCUCAAUUUAAAAAAAUGCAAAAUUCCCCAAGGAAUCAUAGUUGCUUCUAAUAUUUACAUAUAAAAUGUCUUUAGAAGUCUUCUAGUCAAAAUCUCGCAUUACUAAUUUAGGGAGCACUAAUACAAUUCCAUGUAUAAAAACUAAGAAAAUGUGGGUGUGGCCGAGGCUGUUAUUUCAAGGAAAUUUUGUAAAUGUUGUUAGUAAUCAUUUGUAAGUAUAUGUCAAUAUCUUCCAUUUGGCUGGUGAGAAACCUUAAAAUCUCACUUCUCCCAGCCAGUAUUUCCAGGGUGUAGUAAGGGAGCAGGACUUAGAAUUCUCUUGGUCAUUGCUGACUUUUUAAGUCCCUGCUUCCACUGAUCUUUUGAUCUGUGUUCUAGAACACAGAUCUAGAUUUUGCUUUCUUUGCUUUGUCCACACUGCUUCUUUUCUUAGGGCAAUACUCAUAAAACCAGCAUGAUGAUUUCACUUUUCCAAAGACCACUGAUUCAAGGUCCAAUGCAGAGACUCUUUGAUGAAAUGUUAAGCAGUGGGGCAGUUUAAUAUUGCAGCGUAGCACAUUGAAUCAUAAACAUACU